This is a non-coding RNA of Clostridium cadaveris, 356 nucleotides long. It matches the Rfam family "transfer-messenger RNA". Rfam says of the family: Bacterial tmRNA, also known as 10Sa RNA or SsrA, is named for its dual tRNA and mRNA-like properties. Its role is to liberate the mRNA from a stalled ribosome. The record is from Rfam. Lineage: Bacteria; Bacillati; Bacillota; Clostridia; Eubacteriales; Clostridiaceae.
GGGGGCGCAAUGGUUUCGACGGGGGUACGGAGUUCUAAGGAAGCGAGUGGAGGGAAGUAUGGGCCCGCCUUAAAAAACGAUGCACUAAAUGUAAACGCAGAAGAUAAUUUUGCAUUAGCAGCUUAAUAUAGCUGUUCGUUCUACCUUUGAGUCCCACGGCUUAGGAUAGGGCGUCGAUUAGUGGGGAACCGAGCAUAGGAAAGCUUUGACCUAUGAACGGAAUUCAUGAAGCUACUAAAGUGAAAAGCCUGCCAAUGGGCGUUUCAUGGAGGGAAUGUUAAAUCAUCUGGCUGCACUCGGAGAUGCUUUAGGAGUUUGGCUUUCGGACAGGGGUUCGAUUCCCCUCGCCUCCACCA